Molecule: long non-coding RNA, 2180 nt
Organism: Myzus persicae (green peach aphid)
Lineage: Eukaryota; Metazoa; Arthropoda; Insecta; Hemiptera; Aphididae
Exons: 2
Source: RefSeq, a predicted model, not a curated record
ACAUACUAGCUAUUUUACAUAUUGUAUCUACUUACAUAUUAUCAAUAAACAAAUUGUGAACUUUCAAAAAUUUUAACGAUAAAUUGUAAAGCUUGGAUUGUUAAAUAUUAAAAAAUUUUAAACAUAGUCGAAUUUGAGUAUUCUAAAAUGUUAAAUGAAUGAAAAUAAUCUAUUAUUUAUAUCUCUUGCAGUUAAAGACGAUGGUUCCGAAAUAUGUAUUUUUACGAUGAAAAAUUUAAAUUGUAAGAUUUUAUUUAAUGAACAUUUUAAUAAACACGGUUUGUCAGAGAAUACAGUAAAAAUGUUCAAAUUCAAAUACAAAGAAAAUGUAAGUCUCGAAAGUUGUACAUAAAAUGAUUCCUAUAAGUUCCAUUUCCAAUCUGAUAAAGUUUCACAAAAAAAACAGAUACUUGUAGAAAAUUACUAAAAUAAAUAUGUCUGCAACUUUCCUCACUAAUUAAUCUCCUCAAUUCCCUCCUUACAGCCGUAUUACACAAUCAAUCCAUUCUAUAGUUCAUUUCUUCUCUAUCUCAUUAGGCUAAUUACCAAUUAUGUCAUAUUCACCGGUAACUAUUUCUGUUUAUUUCAAUUUCAUUAUAAUGUAUUUAAUAUUGAGCACUUGUAUUAUAAUCGUUGAGCUGUAAUAGUUAUAUACUUGAAGCUAAUAAAGAAAAAAAAUAUGUCUGCAAUAAAGUAAAAAAAUUAGGUAUAAGAUAAUUAUCUUAUUUUUUUUUCUAUAGUUACAAGGUAUUAUUGUGGGUAUCCUCAGUGACAUGGGCCAUUAGGUUUACAAAUAAUUUAAAUCGAUAACAUACAUCUUAUAACAUAAUAAUAUUAUUAUAAAUAUUUAAUUAUAUUAAUUAAUGCAUUUAUUAAUAUUAUUAAGAACAUUUAAAUAAAAGGAAACGUAAGAACUUUUGAUGAUGAAUUUAGUUAGUUGAUUAAAUAUUUAAGUAUACAAUUUUGCCAAUUUUUGAAAAUUAUAACAACAUUCAUUACAAUCUUAAUUACAACAGUUAAAAAUAUGGCUCAAAAGUUCUCUUGUACAAGUUGUACAUUUUACGUAGAAUCCGAAUAUUUGUUCAGAAUAAAAAUAGUGAUAAUUAUCAAGAAUCCUCUUAAGCAACAAAAUUGAAAAUCGAAGUUCAAUGCGCCCUGUAGAAAAUUAUCUUCUAACUAACAAAAAAACUAGAAAAUGUAUUGAAGUUGAAGAUCGAAGCAUUUGUACUGCUCAAAAAUGACACAACAUUUGUGGUACCUACCUACUGCGUAGUACUUCUAGGUAUUUCACAUGGCGCAAGUAUCAUCGAGACAUGGAUGCUACUAGCUCUACCUGUGGAAAAGGAGGACGGUGGCUGAAUCCCGCUGCAUCCACUGCGAUGAGCCGGAGGGCUCAGUGGAACAUACGCUGUUCCAUUAUCAGUACUGGGCGGAGGGUAGGUUUGAGAUGGAGCAGAGCAUUGGUCGGCGACUGCAGCCAGAAAAUGUCUCUGAUUUCAUUCUGGGGCCUAAGCAGGAGCUCCUCCCGGAUGAUAUGUCAAGGAUGCAGCGUAUUAAGGCGUUGGCGGAGAAGCAGAGGCUAGCGUUUGACAGGAUGGUAGAGACGAUACUCAGGCAGAAGAAGGCUGCAGCGCAUCAGGCGGGAUACAAGUGGACGGGUAGGGUAGACGUUGUGUUAUUCUGUGGGCCGAAGGCCAGCUUUUCUGGGUGGUUAGAGGCCCCCACCUAUGUAUAACUAAAUUAUGAUGGUGAAUAAACGAUAGGAUAACGACAAACACGGGUGGUAAUAUUGUGAUAAACAGUACCCACCCGUUCCCAGUUUUUGAAAGGUAAGGUGAACCUGGCACAUAGUCAAAAUAGUUUUUUGAUGACUCUCUAUUCAAAACAUUUUAAUUUAUAAUUUAAUAUAAUAUUAAGAUUGUUUUUGCUUUAUUUUUUUUUCUAAUUUUAUUUAUUCCAAAUCAUGUUUAAAAACGAAAAAAUGUCGGGGGUUACAUGCUCGGUUACGUAUUCUGGAUUUUGAUUUAAAAAUACUAGUUGAACUACUCUACGAGAAUAACAAUAAUUCACAUUUACAUUUUUAAUUGUUAGGUAAAAAACCUUAGAUUUAACUCCAUCAAACCAUUCGAGAAACAAUAUCUCGUUGAAAUCCUGACAUAAAGCAAUGUUACAGAUAGGAC